GAUGAACGCUGGCGGCGUGCCUAAUACAUGCAAGUCGAGCGAACAGACGAGGAGCUUGCUCCUCUGACGUUAGCGGCGGACGGGUGAGUAACACGUGGAUAACCUACCUAUAAGACUGGGAUAACUUCGGGAAACCGGAGCUAAUACCGGAUAAUAUAUUGAACCGCAUGGUGCAGUAGUGAAAGACGGUUUUGCUGUCACUUAUAGAUGGAUCCGCGCCGCAUUAGCUAGUUGGUAAGGUAACGGCUUACCAAGGCAACGAUGCGUAGCCGACCUGAGAGGGUGAUCGGCCACACUGGAACUGAGACACGGUCCAGACUCCUACGGGAGGCAGCAGUAGGGAAUCUUCCGCAAUGGGCGAAAGCCUGACGGAGCAACGCCGCGUGAGUGAUGAAGGUCUUCGGAUCGUAAAACUCUGUUAUUAGGGAAGAACAAAUGUGUAAGUAACUAUGCACGUCGUGACGGUACCUAAUCAGAAAGCCACGGCUAACUACGUG
Molecule: ribosomal RNA, 497 nt
Filed under: uncultured bacterium
Lineage: Bacteria
Description: partial 16S ribosomal RNA
Rfam family: Bacterial small subunit ribosomal RNA
Source: RNAcentral